UAAAAUUGAUUUUUAAAUGUAUGAAUAUAUCAAGUGAGUCACUUCACAAAACGUCAGCAUGUAGCCAGGAGCCACUUUUUGAAAUGAUGUGCUUUAGGAACUCUUGGACAGGUUGACCCCAUAGACUCCCAUUAUAUGAAGCAGAGAGGGCUGUGGAUUUACCAAACAAUCUUCUUUAUGGUUCUACUUAAGAAAAAAUGUCACCUAUCUUGGAUGGCCCGAGAAAAGAAACCAUAGGUGUCAGAUCAUCAUGUUAAUAAGCUGGGGUGAAAUACAAAAUAACAGGACUGCAUACAGGGCCGCCAGUGGAAUUCAUUUAGUUUGGGACAAAAUGAUAAGCUCCUGUACAUCCAGCAGUGUAAAUAUGCGUUUAGGGGAUCACUCUCAUCACAGGUCCCAGUUGUCUCCUCCCAUCACAUCCAUCCAGGUCACAUCAUGGGGCUGAGGGGUGUGCCACGAUCUCUCAAAUUCCUGCAAGUGCAGCAGUCGCCUUCACGCUGCGUAUGAGCCUUCGAGGCUUUCGCACCUGACAGUAGAUUGGUCCACCAAGAGCAAGCGGCGCACCGGCAGUAUUGUGCUCUAAUGAGGAGCAGUCUGAGAGUAUUAUGGGCUGUAUUCACCGAGGGGAGAUCUGAGAGGGUGGGCGCCAGGUUUGAGGUGUACGGGUGCAUUCUGCUAUGGAUAUUAGCCAGAACUGUGCUGAGCAGAUGCUUAAAAUGUGGGAUUCUGGGAAGGGCCUUGAGGCAGCCUGCAUAAAGGCAUGGCUGUCUUACAUUGAGAAUAUAUAAGUUUACGAGAAAGUGUACAAAGAGCAGGGGCUGUAAAGGUACUGAAUAUUUAGUUUUUUUAGCCUCUCUCAGAGCCUGUGCUGAUUUAUGGCCAUGUUCAAUUCGUUAUAUAGGUGGCAUAAUUUACUGAAGUGAAAGGGAAGAAGAGAAGGAGCCCUCAGAGAAAGGGAUAGGAAGAAUUCUCUGUAGUAAGGCAACAUUUUUGAUGUCAGAUCUCCUUAUCUUUAAGCUUCGCUUGCCACAGAAUACGAGGCAUGUGUGGUAGAUAUGGAGAUAGAGGGGAGAUGUAAAGGAUGACCUGGCUUGGAGCUAUUUUUUCAGCUACAAUGCUUUGCUAACAUACACUUCACUGCUUUUACUCUGUUUUCGCUUUACUGGAAGACUCCACUGAAUGCUUAAAGCAGGCAAUAAGCAUAGACGAUAUGACCAAAAUCCUAUAUCAUGACAUUGAUGACAACCAUAUUACUGUAGUCAAUAUAUAGAUAUUUUGGUUAAAAAUUUGGUUUAAAAGAUUAUUUACAGUAUUCAAUUCUUAAAGUGAUUGUUCAAAAUUGAAAAUUCUGUCGUCAUUCACUCACCCUCAAGUUGUUUCAAACCAGAUUUAAAAGACUGCUUUUACAAACA
Long non-coding RNA from Triplophysa dalaica, 1412 nucleotides. RefSeq lists it as uncharacterized. The record is from RefSeq and is a predicted model, not a curated record. The transcript is spliced from 3 exons. Lineage: Eukaryota; Metazoa; Chordata; Actinopteri; Cypriniformes; Nemacheilidae.